UCGAUGGGGGGACGCAGUAGGAUAGGCGAAGCGUGCGAUUGGAUUGCACGUCUAAGCAGUAAGGCUGAGUAUUAGGCAAAUCCGGUACUCGUUAAGGCUGAGCUGUGAUGGGGAGAAGACAUUGAGUCUUCGAGUCGUUGAUUUCACACUGCCGAGAAAAGCCUCUAGAUAGAAAAUAGGUGCCCGUACCGCAAACCGACACAGGUAGUCAAGAUGAGAAUUCUAAGGUGAGCGAGCGAACUCUCGUUAAGGAACUCGGCAAAAUGACCCCGUAACUUCGGGAGAAGGGGUGCUCUUUAGGGUUAACGCCCAGAAGAGCCGCAGUGAAUAGGCCCAAGCGACUGUUUAUCAAAAACACAGGUCUCUGCUAAACCGUAAGGUGAUGUAUAGGGGCUGACGCCUGCCCGGUGCUGGAAGGUUAAGAGGAGUGGUUAGCUUCUGCGAAGCUACGAAUCGAAGCCCCAGUAAACGGCGGCCGUAACUAUAACGGUCCUAAGGUAGCGAAAUUCCUUGUCGGGUAAGUUCCGACCCGCACGAAAGGCGUAACGAUUUGGGCACUGUCUCAACGAGAGACUCGGUGAAAUCAUAGUACCUGUGAAGAUGCAGGUUACCCGCGACAGGACGGAAAGACCCCGUGGAGCUUUACUGUAGCCUGAUAUUGAAAUUCGGCACAGCUUGUACAGGAUAGGUAGGAGCCUUUGAAACGUGAGCGCUAGCUUACGUGGAGGCGCUGGUGGGAUACUACCCUAGCUGUGUUGGCUUUCUAACCCGCACCACUUAUCGUGGUGGGAGACAGUGUCA
Molecule: ribosomal RNA, 801 nt
Filed under: Staphylococcus aureus
Lineage: Bacteria; Bacillati; Bacillota; Bacilli; Caryophanales; Staphylococcaceae
Description: partial 23S ribosomal RNA
Rfam family: Bacterial large subunit ribosomal RNA
Source: RNAcentral